AUGGCCGGCGCGGGCGCCACCCCCGCUCCCCUUGCUGGCGUCUCCUCCGGCCAGCUGCCGUCGUCCCCGACGUCAACGCCGUCAUCCUUGCGGGGGCCAGAUCAGGCGGAUCCAUCACCGACAGGUCUUUCAUGCACCAUCCUGGAGGCUUCUCCCGUGCGUCCUGGUUGGGGGGACUGGCUUGGAUGUUUCAGAGAGAAGACGACGCCCGCUGAUCCCAUAUGUUGCGCCCCAACAGCUCGUGGGGAAACGUUGGAAGGCUGGCACCUUGUCACCGAGCGCCGUCGUUUGCCAUCUUCUCAGGCCUUUUGUCAGCCCGCUUUCAAUGCCCGGCCGGCUCCUCCGUCGUGGUUGAAGGAUCGAUGUUUUCGGUGCCUCUCCAAAGGUCAUCAUGCCCACUCUUGGAGGGACCCAAUUCGGUGCAGAAGCUGCCUCUAUUUCGGCCACACUGCUCGCUUCUGUCAUGCAAAGAACACCAGCCACCAGUCUACGCCGCUUUGA
RNAcentral lists this ribosomal RNA (501 nucleotides) under Triticum aestivum (bread wheat). RNAcentral's name for it is "partial small subunit ribosomal RNA". The record is from RNAcentral. Lineage: Eukaryota; Viridiplantae; Streptophyta; Magnoliopsida; Poales; Poaceae.